Molecule: ribosomal RNA, 256 nt
Filed under: uncultured bacterium
Lineage: Bacteria
Description: partial 16S ribosomal RNA
Rfam family: Bacterial small subunit ribosomal RNA
Source: RNAcentral
GACAUAGGUGGCAAGCGUUAUUCGGGAUUACUAGGCGUAAAGCGAAGUGUAGGCGGACGAUUAAGUCCGAUGUUAAAUCUCCAGGCUUAACUUGGAGUCGCAUCGGAUACUGGUCGCCUCGAGUGGGGUAGGGGGCAGCGGGAAGUUCCCGGUGUAGCGGUGAAAUGCGUAGAUAUCGGGAGGAACACCUAUGGCGAAAGCAGCUGCCUGGGCCUUUACUGACGCUAAGACUCGAAAAGCUGGGGGAGCAAACAGG